Molecule: ribosomal RNA, 437 nt
Filed under: Tulasnellaceae sp. CBS 602.93
Lineage: Eukaryota; Fungi; Basidiomycota; Agaricomycetes; Cantharellales; Tulasnellaceae
Description: eukaryotic LSU rRNA
Rfam family: Eukaryotic large subunit ribosomal RNA (bases 376-437)
Source: RNAcentral
GUGAAUCAUCGAAUCUUUGAACGCACCUUGCACCUUCCAGUACUCUGGAAGGUAUGCCCGGUUGAGUAUUAUGAUCACCUCAAACCUAUGAUUUUCUUAUUGCAAAGACCAAUGCUCUGACGAAAGCACUCAUUGGGGUGCUAGUAGUUGCUGCUUGGUUUGGAAGAUCUUAGGUCUUGGACUUGAGCACUGUUGGUUCCCUCUGGAUCAACUUGCUUGAAAUGUAUUAGCUGGCGACCUGCCUUCAAUGGUUACCACUCGGCGUAGUAAGUCUUAUUCGUCGAGGACACCUUGUACCUUCAUCGGAACAGGUGGCCAUUGUGCUGUGUCUUGAUAGCCGCUUCUAAUCGUCUCUGGACAACAUAACGAACUCUUUAAUCUCAACUCGGGUAGGACUACCCGCUGAACUUAAGCAUAUCAAUAAGCGGAGGAAAAGA